GCACAGAGAGGCGAAACAACUUGUUCAAAGUCACGCAGCUGGUAUGGGACGGAGACUGGCUUCCAGCCAGGUUACUCUGUCCCUAGAAGCUGCCUGUUCGGCCCCCACACCAUACCGACUCCUUGAAGUGAUGCCGUAGAAGGUUGAUUAUGAGGAUUAAAGAAAGAUAAGCAGGUCAUGAUGCAAGCAGACGAUUGUUCCAUGCUGGUGCUGUUGUCAUGGAAUGCGUCCUUCCCUGCCAUCCCAGCUGAGCCCAAUCCCCAGCCAAGCCACCAGGUAACUGCAGCGGGAAGCUGCUAUACUGCCUGGCGUAUUUCUACCCUCAACACAUUUUUAUUGACAUAAACUUUAUCCUUCCAACAACCCUGUCAGUCAUCCUAGGACACAGGUGUGCAUCCCCCACAGCCAGCCAGCAGAGAAGAUGAAUCAGCUUCCCUGAAAGAUGUGCCCCGGAGCAGUCUGUCGGCUGAAACUCUUCUGAAGCAGCACCGCUCCCCUUCUGACCACAGCUAAUGAAAAUGUGUGGCUUGCCAGGAGGAAGAAUCUCUGUUAUUCUUUAAAGGAACAAUGCUGACCACAGAUGUGCAGCAUCUGGUAUGUGGUAGAGGACAGUAACUGGACCAGCCAGUUCAUGAAAUGCCUUUGGGUCCAGGCAUGUAUUUUUCUACUUUUAGUUAUAGAUUUUGGUUAUCAGAAGUGGAAAUGGAAGUCCAAAUGCCUUUUUCCAUCACUUGGUAUAUUUUAUAAUAUGCCCCCUUGCCCCCACCCAUUUAUCUUCCGUGGCUCUUGAUGAAUAUGAUUGAGAUGUCCAAAGCUAGAACUCUUUCCAACUGCAAAUAAGAGAAGCCCAGUCCAAGUUGUUUUAAGCAAAAAAUGACUUUAUUGAGUGAUGUAACUUAAAAUCUGGGACUGUUUGACUUCAAAGUCAGGUAUAGCUGCAUCCAGGUGUUCACAUGGAUGGCCCAGGUUAGACCACCUUGGGACGUGUCACCA
This is a non-coding RNA of Manis javanica (Malayan pangolin), 993 nucleotides long. Lineage: Eukaryota; Metazoa; Chordata; Mammalia; Pholidota; Manidae. The record is from RefSeq and is a predicted model, not a curated record.